UUAGAUAUUGUUUAAUCUAAAGAGAAAAAAAAUUAUGUUCCAAUUUCACAUGACCAUAACUAAUGAAAUGACAGAGAAAUAUGUCUCUUUAUAUUCCCAACUAUAUCAACAAAUACAAAAUAAAUGAAUUAAUUAAAUGGGAAAUUAAUACAAUACCACAAAUGAUUAAAACCCCAUAAAUCCCCCGCAGUUCUCAUGGAUAAAAAAACUUCCAUGCCACAGAUGGUCUGAGAUUCCCCUCUUUACAUAAGCAAGGCGGCAGCGAAAACACCAACGGCCACAAAUCCUGGGACGGAGAAUCUAUUCGAAACGGCGCCGUUCGGUGCAAGAGCUUCCGAGGGGGAUCCCAACACCGAAGUAGAGGGAGAGGUGGCCGGCGAAGACGAUGGUGGAGUAGGUGGAGAGUCUGCGACGGGAGGGUCAUUAAAACAUCAACGGCUGAGCACCCCAUCCCUCAAAUAACACUAUUUGAGGGAUCCCUCAACUGAAGGGGACUAUAUAUAUAACUGUACCGUCUAAAUAUUGUUGAAUAUAAUCUAAAUUAUUUAGACUAUGUUGAAUGGGAGUUGGCU
This 572-nucleotide long non-coding RNA is filed under the name Prunus persica (peach). Its description in RNAcentral is "long non-coding RNA (PPER_LNC008105)". The record is from RNAcentral. Lineage: Eukaryota; Viridiplantae; Streptophyta; Magnoliopsida; Rosales; Rosaceae.